GAUGAAGAACGUAGCGAAAUGCGAUACGUAAUGUGAAUUGCAGAAUUCAGUGAAUCAUCGAAUCUUUGAACGCAUAUUGCGCUCUCUGGUAUUCCGGAGAGCAUGCUUGUUUGAGUAUCAGUAAACACCUCAACUUCCAUAUCUUUUUUGAAAUGGGAGUUGGACUUGAGUGAUCCCAACGCUUUUCCUCACCGAAAAGUGGCGGGUUACUUGAAAUGCAGGUGCAGCUGGACUUUUCUCUGAGCUAUAAGCAUAUCUAUUUAGUCUACCUAAAAAACAGAUUAUUACCUUUGCUGCAGCUAACAUAAAGGAGAUUAGUUCUUGUGCUGACUGAUGCAGGAUUCACAAAGACAGGCUUCGGCCGACUUUGUAAACUCGAUCUCAAAUCAAGUAAGACUACCCGCUGAACUUAAGCAUAUCAAUAAGCGGAGGA
RNAcentral lists this unclassified non-coding RNA (433 nucleotides) under soil metagenome. Its description in RNAcentral is "partial contains 5.8S ribosomal RNA, internal transcribed spacer 2, and large subunit ribosomal RNA". The stretch from base 1 to 120 matches the Rfam family "5.8S ribosomal RNA", at positions 35 to 154 of the family's 154-position model. The record is from RNAcentral.